Molecule: ribosomal RNA, 292 nt
Filed under: uncultured bacterium
Lineage: Bacteria
Description: partial 16S ribosomal RNA
Rfam family: Bacterial small subunit ribosomal RNA
Source: RNAcentral
GUGCCAGCCGCCGCGGUAAUACGGAGGGUGCAAGCGUUAAUCGGAAUUACUGGGCGUAAAGCGCGCGUAGGCGGUUUGUUAAGUCGGAUGUGAAAGCCCUGGGCUCAACCUGGGAACUGCAUACGAUACUGGCAAGCUAGAGUGCAAUAGAGGGGGGUAGAAUUCCAGGUGUAGCGGUGAAAUGCGUAGAUAUCUGGAGGAAUACCGGUGGCGAAGGCGGCCCCCUGGAUUGACACUGACGCUGAGGUGCGAAAGCGUGGGUAGCAAACAGGAUUAGAAACCCGCGUAGUCC